RNAcentral lists this ribosomal RNA (408 nucleotides) under uncultured bacterium. RNAcentral describes it as "partial 16S ribosomal RNA". It matches the Rfam family "Bacterial small subunit ribosomal RNA", at positions 28 to 526 of the family's 1533-position model. The record is from RNAcentral.
GACGAACGCUGGCGGCGGGCUUAACACAUACAAGUCGAACGAAGUGGCGAACGGGUGAGUAAUACGUGGGUAACCUGCCCCCCUUUUGGGGAUAAGCCUUGGAAACGGGGUCUAAUACCGAAUAACGGGGGAUGGGCUCGGGGCCUAUCAGCUUGUUGGGGGGGUGAUGGCCUACCAAGGCGGUGACGGGUAGCCGGCCUGAGAGGGUGACCGGCCACAUUGGGACUGAGAGACGGCCCAGACUCCUACGGGAGGCAGCAGUGGGGAAUAUUGGACAACGGGCGAAAGCCUGAUCCAGCCAUGCCGCGUGUGUGAAGAAGGUCUUCGGAUUGUAAAGCACUUUAAGUGGGGAGGCGUUACCAACAGAAUAAGCACCGGCUAACUUCGUGCCAGCAGCCGCGGUAAUAC